GAGAACAGUCCAAAACAUGCUGCACCUUGCUGUCCCAAUAAUCCAAAAUAUUCACCAAAAUGGUGAUACCAUGACCUGCACAAAGAAGACAAUGAAACAGUUGCCUAAAGUGUUCAAAUCUAACCAAAUUUCCCCCCCAAAUUUCAUUCUCAUGGGGAUAUAAAAGGGACCUUCUGCAUACAAAGAAAAAAGAAAACCGACAGACAACCACGAAAGAACAAGGGAAAAAAAAGAGAGAACAAAAACCUCACCAACCCUUCACUCUAACCACAAGUUACAACUCUCAACCAUCACUCAUAACUUCUUUUUCAUUCCCUCCUGCUUACACUUCAUCAUCCUCACACGAUAAGCCAUAAAACCAGCUUCACUUCACUUAAAAUCACUCCGAUAAUCCUGCACUCAUCCUCAACAACAUUCAACAUACAACAGACACUAACCAAAUCACGUAACACAAUUUCAUCAUCACGUGACUCAGAAACAAACUACAACAACAAACACCGCUCCGACAACUUGACAUCAACAUCAUAGCGACAAACAACUCUCAGUAUCACCGCGGAUUUCGUCACUCCGAUAACUUUCGGAUCGGUAUUGUGAUUCGCCUUGAAAGAGAAAAUGGCUACUAGCAUCAACCAUGUGUAUUUUUUCAUUGCAAUUUUAUGCAUUACAUCAGUGUUGAUUCCAGUUUCUUGGAGAGGCUUAUCUUGGACCCUUUGGAGUUUGGACACUACUUUCGCAUCAUAUUGGAAAAGAUUUUCAAAGGAAAGAAAGAUUCAAAAACAGUGGCAAAGGACCUAAAUCAGGUAUAGAAGACCGUGGAGAUCUGAAUGAUCCUAGUGGAGACUAUAGCAUGAUUGUGUUGGAAUUCUAGCUGCAUUCAAAUUCAAAGGUCCCCCUCAUCAGUCUCUUAUUGUAGCCAACACAUAUUUAUUGUCGCUUGUCAGGGCUUUUGAAUCAUCGGCUGUAAACACUAAUGAGUCACUUAGGAUUUGUUGGGUCUUCUCGUCCACCACAACCCACUAAUGAAAGUGAUCACACAAAUGAAGAUGGCGUCGAUGAAUCAGAUGAAGAAGACCUUAGAAGUGAAUUUUGAUUUGUAUUUUUACUUGGUUGUUAAAUUGGAUUGUAAUUUGGAUUGUUUUAUCUUAAGUAAUAGCAGAUUUUGGAUUUUAUAG
This is a long non-coding RNA of Vicia villosa (hairy vetch), 1172 nucleotides long. RefSeq lists it as uncharacterized. NCBI's taxonomy places the organism in Eukaryota, Viridiplantae, Streptophyta, Magnoliopsida, Fabales, Fabaceae. The record is from RefSeq and is a predicted model, not a curated record. The transcript is spliced from 5 exons.